Molecule: ribosomal RNA, 2554 nt
Filed under: Staphylococcus aureus
Lineage: Bacteria; Bacillati; Bacillota; Bacilli; Caryophanales; Staphylococcaceae
Description: partial 23S ribosomal RNA
Rfam family: Bacterial large subunit ribosomal RNA
Source: RNAcentral
GUAAUAAUCCUGUAGUCGAAAAUGUUGUCUCUCUUGAGUGGAUCCUGAGUACGACGGAGCACGUGAAAUUCCGUCGGAAUCUGGGAGGACCAUCUCCUAAGGCUAAAUACUCUCUAGUGACCGAUAGUGAACCAGUACCGUGAGGGAAAGGUGAAAAGCACCCCGGAAGGGGAGUGAAAUAGAACCUGAAACCGUGUGCUUACAAGUAGUCAGAGCCCGUUAAUGGGUGAUGGCGUGCCUUUUGUAGAAUGAACCGGCGAGUUACGAUUUGAUGCAAGGUUAAGCAGUAAAUGUGGAGCCGUAGCGAAAGCGAGUCUGAAUAGGGCGUUUAGUAUUUGGUCGUAGACCCGAAACCAGGUGAUCUACCCUUGGUCAGGUUGAAGUUCAGGUAACACUGAAUGGAGGACCGAACCGACUUACGUUGAAAAGUGAGCGGAUGAACUGAGGGUAGCGGAGAAAUUCCAAUCGAACCUGGAGAUAGCUGGUUCUCUCCGAAAUAGCUUUAGGGCUAGCCUCAAGUGAUGAUUAUUGGAGGUAGAGCACUGUUUGGACGAGGGGCCCCUCUCGGGUUACCGAAUUCAGACAAACUCCGAAUGCCAAUUAAUUUAACUUGGGAGUCAGAACAUGGGUGAUAAGGUCCGUGUUCGAAAGGGAAACAGCCCAGACCACCAGCUAAGGUCCCAAAAUAUAUGUUAAGUGGAAAAGGAUGUGGCGUUGCCCAGACAACUAGGAUGUUGGCUUAGAAGCAGCCAUCAUUUAAAGAGUGCGUAAUAGCUCACUAGUCGAGUGACACUGCGCCGAAAAUGUACCGGGGCUAAACAUAUUACCGAAGCUGUGGAUUGUCCUUUGGACAAUGGUAGGAGAGCGUUCUAAGGGCGUUGAAGCAUGAUCGUAAGGACAUGUGGAGCGCUUAGAAGUGAGAAUGCCGGUGUGAGUAGCGAAAGACGGGUGAGAAUCCCGUCCACCGAUUGACUAAGGUUUCCAGAGGAAGGCUCGUCCGCUCUGGGUUAGUCGGGUCCUAAGCUGAGGCCGACAGGCGUAGGCGAUGGAUAACAGGUUGAUAUUCCUGUACCACCUAUAAUCGUUUUAAUCGAUGGGGGGACGCAGUAGGAUAGGCGAAGCGUGCGAUUGGAUUGCACGUCUAAGCAGUAAGGCUGAGUAUUAGGCAAAUCCGGUACUCGUUAAGGCUGAGCUGUGAUGGGGAGAAGACAUUGAGUCUUCGAGUCGUUGAUUUCACACUGCCGAGAAAAGCCUCUAGAUAGAAAAUAGGUGCCCGUACCGCAAACCGACACAGGUAGUCAAGAUGAGAAUUCUAAGGUGAGCGAGCGAACUCUCGUUAAGGAACUCGGCAAAAUGACCCCGUAACUUCGGGAGAAGGGGUGCUCUUUAGGGUUAACGCCCAGAAGAGCCGCAGUGAAUAGGCCCAAGCGACUGUUUAUCAAAAACACAGGUCUCUGCUAAACCGUAAGGUGAUGUAUAGGGGCUGACGCCUGCCCGGUGCUGGAAGGUUAAGAGGAGUGGUUAGCUUCUGCGAAGCUACGAAUCGAAGCCCCAGUAAACGGCGGCCGUAACUAUAACGGUCCUAAGGUAGCGAAAUUCCUUGUCGGGUAAGUUCCGACCCGCACGAAAGGCGUAACGAUUUGGGCACUGUCUCAACGAGAGACUCGGUGAAAUCAUAGUACCUGUGAAGAUGCAGGUUACCCGCGACAGGACGGAAAGACCCCGUGGAGCUUUACUGUAGCCUGAUAUUGAAAUUCGGCACAGCUUGUACAGGAUAGGUAGGAGCCUUUGAAACGUGAGCGCUAGCUUACGUGGAGGCGCUGGUGGGAUACUACCCUAGCUGUGUUGGCUUUCUAACCCGCACCACUUAUCGUGGUGGGAGACAGUGUCAGGCGGGCAGUUUGACUGGGGCGGUCGCCUCCUAAAAGGUAACGGAGGCGCUCAAAGGUUCCCUCAGAAUGGUUGGAAAUCAUUCAUAGAGUGUAAAGGCAUAAGGGAGCUUGACUGCGAGACCUACAAGUCGAGCAGGGUCGAAAGACGGACUUAGUGAUCCGGUGGUUCCGCAUGGAAGGGCCAUCGCUCAACGGAUAAAAGCUACCCCGGGGAUAACAGGCUUAUCUCCCCCAAGAGUUCACAUCGACGGGGAGGUUUGGCACCUCGAUGUCGGCUCAUCGCAUCCUGGGGCUGUAGUCGGUCCCAAGGGUUGGGCUGUUCGCCCAUUAAAGCGGUACGCGAGCUGGGUUCAGAACGUCGUGAGACAGUUCGGUCCCUAUCCGUCGUGGGCGUAGGAAAUUUGAGAGGAGCUGUCCUUAGUACGAGAGGACCGGGAUGGACAUACCUCUGGUGUACCAGUUGUCGUGCCAACGGCAUAGCUGGGUAGCUAUGUGUGGACGGGAUAAGUGCUGAAAGCAUCUAAGCAUGAAGCCCCCCUCAAGAUGAGAUUUCCCAACUUCGGUUAUAAGAUCCCUCAAAGAUGAUGAGGUUAAUAGGUUCGAGGUGGAAGCAUGGUGACAUGUGGAGCUGACGAAUACUAAUCGAUCGAAGACUUAAUCAA